GCGAAGCCGCGAGGUGGAGCAAACCCCAGAAAUAAACGUCCCAGUUCGGACUGCAGCCUGCAACUCGGCUGCACGAAGCCGGAAUCGCUAGUAAUCGCAGAUCAGCAUGCUGCGGUGAAUACGUUCCCGGGUCUUGUACACACCGCCCGUCACCCCAUGGGAGCCGGGAAUGCCCGAAGUCAGCGGCCCAACCGAAAGGAGGGAGCUGCCGAAGGCAGGCCUGGUGACUGGGGUGAAGUCGUAACAAGGUACC
Molecule: ribosomal RNA, 253 nt
Filed under: uncultured bacterium
Lineage: Bacteria
Description: partial 16S ribosomal RNA
Rfam family: Bacterial small subunit ribosomal RNA
Source: RNAcentral